RNAcentral lists this ribosomal RNA (768 nucleotides) under Klebsiella quasipneumoniae subsp. similipneumoniae. RNAcentral's name for it is "bacterial SSU rRNA". It matches the Rfam family "Bacterial small subunit ribosomal RNA", at positions 1 to 760 of the family's 1533-position model. The record is from RNAcentral. Lineage: Bacteria; Pseudomonadati; Pseudomonadota; Gammaproteobacteria; Enterobacterales; Enterobacteriaceae.
AAAUUGAAGAGUUUGAUCAUGGCUCAGAUUGAACGCUGGCGGCAGGCCUAACACAUGCAAGUCGAGCGGUAGCACAGAGAGCUUGCUCUCGGGUGACGAGCGGCGGACGGGUGAGUAAUGUCUGGGAAACUGCCUGAUGGAGGGGGAUAACUACUGGAAACGGUAGCUAAUACCGCAUAAUGUCGCAAGACCAAAGUGGGGGACCUUCGGGCCUCAUGCCAUCAGAUGUGCCCAGAUGGGAUUAGCUAGUAGGUGGGGUAAUGGCUCACCUAGGCGACGAUCCCUAGCUGGUCUGAGAGGAUGACCAGCCACACUGGAACUGAGACACGGUCCAGACUCCUACGGGAGGCAGCAGUGGGGAAUAUUGCACAAUGGGCGCAAGCCUGAUGCAGCCAUGCCGCGUGUGUGAAGAAGGCCUUCGGGUUGUAAAGCACUUUCAGCGGGGAGGAAGGCGAUAAGGUUAAUAACCUUGUCGAUUGACGUUACCCGCAGAAGAAGCACCGGCUAACUCCGUGCCAGCAGCCGCGGUAAUACGGAGGGUGCAAGCGUUAAUCGGAAUUACUGGGCGUAAAGCGCACGCAGGCGGUCUGUCAAGUCGGAUGUGAAAUCCCCGGGCUCAACCUAGGAACUGCAUUCGAAACUGGCAGGCUAGAGUCUUGUAGAGGGGGGUAGAAUUCCAGGUGUAGCGGUGAAAUGCGUAGAGAUCUGGAGGAAUACCGGUGGCGAAGGCGGCCCCCUGGACAAAGACUGACGCUCAGGUGCGAAAGC